GCUGGGCCUGGUGGCGCAUGCCUGUAAUCCCAGUGGCUCUGGAAGCUGAGACAGGAGGAUCACAAGUUCAAAGCCAACCUCAGCAAUGGGGAGGCCCUAAGCAAUGCAGGGAGACCCUGUCUCUA
Molecule: small RNA, 125 nt
Filed under: Marmota monax (woodchuck)
Lineage: Eukaryota; Metazoa; Chordata; Mammalia; Rodentia; Sciuridae
Source: RNAcentral